GAUGAACGCUGGCGGCGUGCCUAAUACAUGCAAGUCGAGCGAACAGAUGAGGAGCUUGCUCCUCUGACGUUAGCGGCGGACGGGUGAGUAACACGUGGAUAACCUACCUAUAAGACUGGGAUAACUUCGGGAAACCGGAGCUAAUACCGGAUAAUAUAUUGAACCGCAUGGUUCAAUAGUGAAAGACGGUUUUGCUGUCACUUAUAGAUGGAUCCGCGCCGCAUUAGCUAGUUGGUAAGGUAACGGUUUACCAAGGCAACGAUGCGUAGCCGAUCUGAGAGGGUGAUCGGCCACACUGGAACUGAGACACGGUCCAGACUCCUACGGGAGGCAGCAGUAGGGAAUCUUCCGCAAUGGGCGAAAGCCUGACGGAGCAACGCCGCGUGAGUGAUGAAGGUCUUCGGAUCGUAAAACUCUGUUAUUAGGGAAGAACAAAUGUGUAAGUAACUAUGCACGUCUUGACGGUACCUAAUCAGAAAGCCACGGCUAACUACGUG
This 497-nucleotide ribosomal RNA is filed under the name uncultured bacterium. Its description in RNAcentral is "partial 16S ribosomal RNA". It matches the Rfam family "Bacterial small subunit ribosomal RNA", at positions 28 to 507 of the family's 1533-position model. The record is from RNAcentral.